GAAAAAUGCUUUCUUCUGCUACUAGCUCUUUCUCAUUUCACCACCACCGCCACCACCAUCACCAUAAUCAACCGUUAAUAAUGACUCUAAUCUUAAAUUCUCCACCACUCCCAUGUGGUAAUAGUAAGAAUAUCUUCUCCUAUCAUUCUCAUCACUUUCAUCGCAGUAGUUUCCAUCAUCACUCUUUCAAAUUCUUAAACCCUAAACCCUUUCGUUUUCGUUCAACCAAUCACAUCCCUUCAUAUUCUUCAUCUUCUUCUACUAAUCCAAUCCGACAGACCCUACAAGAAGAAGACGAAGAGAGUUUGGAUUUGAGUAAUUUUGAUUCUGAUGAUGGUAAUUUGGUGAAAAACUUGCCAUCUUCACCUGCGAUUGAAGUGAAAGAAUUAGAAGAAUUACCUGAACAAUGGAGAAGGACUAGAAUUGCUUGGUUAUGUAAAGAAUUACCAUCUCAUAAUCCACCUACUGUACUUAGACUUCUCAAUGCACAGAGAAAAUGGAUUAAUCAAGAAGAUCUUACUUACAUUGCUGUUCAUUCGAUGCGUAAACGGGACAACGAAACCGCUUUUCGGGUGUAUAAAUGGAUGCUUAGACAACGCUGGUUUCAAUUUGAUUUUGCGCUGGCAACCAGGCUAGCAGACUACUCCGGGAAGGAGCGGAAAUUCUCUAGAUGUCGUGAGAUAUUUGACGAUAUAAUCAACAAAGGUCGAGUGCCUAGUGAGUCAACAUUUCAUAUUCUUACAGUUGCUUAUCUAAGCUCAUCAGAGGAAGGUUGUUUAGAAGAAGCCUGUGGGAUUUACAACCGUAUGAUUCAAUUCGGGGGAUACCAACCUCGUCUUAGCUUACACAAUUCUCUAUUCAGAGCUCUUAUUGGUAAAACAGGAGGCUCCUCGAAACAAUUUCUCCAGCAAGCGGAGUUCAUUUUCCAUAACAUAAAGACAUCUGAACUCGAGAUACAGAAAGAUAUUUGUGCAGGUUUAAUUUGGUUGCAUAGCUACCAAGACGAAAUUGAUAGAGAAAAGAUUAUGGAAUUGAGAGAAGAAAUGAAGCGACUUGGAUAUGAAGAGGGGACGGAUGUGCUUGUUUCCUUAUUAAGGGCUCACUCGAAGGAAGGGGAUGUGGAAGAGACAGAACGUACGUGGCUUAAACUCCUCGAUUCUGAUGCUACUCUUCCUUAUCAAGCUUUUGUUUACCGAAUGGAAGUUUAUUCUAAGGUCGGAGAACCUAUGAAAUCAUUGGACAUAUUCAGGGCGAUGCAAGAGCAUUUGGGUUUCACCACUUUUGUGGCAUAUAACAAAAUCAUAGAGGUGAUGUCUAAAACUGAGGAGAUUGAAAUUGUGGAAACCCUUGUGGAAGAGUUUAUAACGAGCAGUCUAAAGCCUCUUGUGCCAGCUUUUAUUAAUCUAAUGCGUAUGUAUUCUAGAUUGAACAUGCAUGGAGAACUGGAAGCUGCCUUUUUCCGCUGUCUUGAAAAAUGCAUUCCAAAUCGAACAAUUUAUAAUAUCUACUUGGAAUCUCUUGUCAAAGUUGGUAAUUUUGUCAAGGCUUCAGAGAUUUUCAACCGUAUGCAAUGUGAUGGGGCGAUUGGUGUCAACUCUCGAGCAUGCAACACCAUUUUAGGCGUGUAUCUUUUAUGUGGAGAAAAUGACGAAGCAGAAAAAGUAUAUGAUUUGAUGUGCAAGAAGAAAUUUGACGUUGAGGCGCUACUAAUGGAAAAGCUAGGGCCUAUUCUGAGCUUGAGCAAAAAGGUGAUUAAGAAGCCUACAAGACUGAAUCUCACCAAAGAACAGAGAGAGAUCUUGAUUGGUUUAUUGUUGGGUGGUGUGCAGAUAGAAUCAGAUGAAGAAAGGAAGGUCCAUGCUAUCCAAUUUGAGUUUAAUCAGGAAUCUAGUGUUCAUAGUGCACUGAAGAGACAUAUCCACAACGAAUACCAUGAAUGGGUAAAGGAUCCAAGUAAGGCUGAUGAGGAGGGUGAAGAGAUACCAUCUAAAUUCUCCACCACUGCACACACUUACUUUGGUUUUUAUGCAGACCAGUUCUUGUCAAAGGGCAAACCUACUAUACCCAAACUGAUCCAUCGUUGGUUGUCACCACGUGUACUAGCUUAUUGGUACAUGUAUGGCGGCCAUAGAACAUCCUCAGGGGAUAUAUUGCUGAAAUUAAAGGGUGGAAAUCGAGAAGAUGUUGAGAGGAUUGUCAAGUCAUUGAAAGCAAUGUCUCUGGAUUGCCGGGUUAAGAAGAAAGGAAGAGUUUCUUGGAUUGGUUUAUUUGGGAGCAACUCAUUGGGGUUUUGGAAACUGACUGAGACAUACAUUUUAGAUAACUUAAAAGAUCUUUUAAAACCAGAUGUUGAAUCCUUAGAACUAGACGAAGACCAAGACAUCAACUUCGACAGUGAGACUGAUUCAGAAGAGUACGUCUCGGAACAAGCUGAUUCAAAAACUAACUAAAAUAGCAAAUCCUGAUCUAUUCUGCGAGUACAGGAGAUACAAGAGUUCUCUGCAUUUUACAGGGCCAGUAACAGGAUUGAAGAAGAACUGGGUAGAUUGGCAAAGCAGAUAAAGACUAUGAUGAAAACCUUGUCAAUUUGUUCUGGGGUAUCAGAAACUGCAUCUAUUGUUCUGGAUUCCACAAGGCUUUCUGUCAGACUGAGAUCAUCUGGUGCUGAGAGUUGGUGGUAGCUUGCACGAUUUCUGGAUCAUGUCCAUGCAGCAAGAUUAACACAUUCUCAAGUUGGUCAUCUCAGAAGUCUACCAGGAUUCGUCUCAAUCAUCCCUGAUAGUGUUCACCAACUCCAGCUCCACACCACUUAUUCUCCUCAGUUUCUUGGUCUAAAUGAUGGUUU
Molecule: RNA transcript, 2845 nt
Organism: Papaver somniferum (opium poppy)
Lineage: Eukaryota; Viridiplantae; Streptophyta; Magnoliopsida; Ranunculales; Papaveraceae
Gene name: pentatricopeptide repeat-containing protein At2g15820, chloroplastic-like
Exons: 7
Source: RefSeq, a predicted model, not a curated record